Anthonomus grandis grandis is the source of this 1189-nucleotide long non-coding RNA. RefSeq lists it as uncharacterized. The record is from RefSeq and is a predicted model, not a curated record. NCBI's taxonomy places the organism in Eukaryota, Metazoa, Arthropoda, Insecta, Coleoptera, Curculionidae. The transcript is spliced from 5 exons.
CUUUUAGUGGAAGAAUCAUGGAAAUCCAUCCAUUAGAACCUUUUUUAUCCAGGUUUUUGUAAAUCAUGUCCAAGAAAAAAGACAGUUUGAGGUAACUUGGGUCAUAACUCCACUUCUGGUAGUCAGAUCGGGUUGAUUUUUGUUUUAAAAGAUUCUUUGAAGUGUUCUUAAGCUUUUAGUGGAAGAAUCAUGGAAAUCCAUCCAUUAGAACCGUUUUUAUCCAGGUUUUUGGAAAUCAUGUUCAAGGGAAAAGACGGUCUUGGGUAACUUGGGUCAUAACUCCACUUCUGGUGGUCAGAUCGGGUUGAUUUUUGUUUUAAAAGAUUCUUUGAAUUGUUGUUCAGCUUUCACUAAAAGAAUCAUGGAAAUCCAUCCAUUAGAACCUUUUUUAUCCAGGUUUUUGUAAAUCAUGUCCAAGAAAAAAGACAGUUUGAGGUAACUUGGGUCAUAACUCCACUUCUGGUAGUCAGAUCGGGUUGAUUUUUGUUUUAAAAGAUUCUUUGAAGUGUUCUUAAGCUUUUAGUGGAAGAAUCAUGGAAAUCCAUCCAUUAGAACCUUUUUUAUCCAGGUUUUUGGAAAUCAUGUUCAAGGGAAAAGACGGUCUUGGGUAACUUGGGUCAUAACUCCACUUCUGGUGGUCAGAUCGGGUUGAUUUUUGUUUAAAAAGAUUCUUUGAAGUGUUCUUAAGCUUUUAGUGGACGAAUCAUGGAAAUCCAUCCAUUAGAACCUUUUUUAUCCAGGUUUUUGGAAAUCAUGUUCAAGGGAAAAGACAGUCUCAGGUAACUUGGGUCAUAACUCCACUUCUGGUAGUCAGAUCGGGUUGAUUUUUGUUUUAAAAGAUUCUUUGAAGUGUUCUUAAGCUUUUAGUGGAAGAAUCAUGGAAAUCCAUCCAUUAGAACCUUUUUUAUCCAGGUUUUUGGAAAUCAUGUUCAAGGGAAAAGACGGUCUUGGGUAACUUGGGUCAUAACUCCACUUCUGGUGGUCAGAUCGGGUUGAUUUUUGUUUUAAAAGAUUCUUUGAAUUGUUGUUCAGCUUUCACUAAAAGAAUCAUGGAAAUCCAUCCAUUAGAACCGUUUUUAUCCAGGGUUUUGGAAAUCAUGUCCAAGAAAAAAGACAGUCUUAGGUAAGUUGGGUCAUAACUCCACUUCUGGUGGUCAGAUCGGGUUGAUUUUUGUUUAAAAAGAUUCUU